CUGGCUCAGGAUGAACGCUAGCUACAGGCUUAACACAUGCAAGUCGAGGGGCAGCAUGAUCGAAGCUUGCUUUGAUUGAUGGCGACCGGCGCACGGGUGAGUAACGCGUAUCCAACCUUCCCUAUAGUAGAGAAUAGCCCGGCGAAAGUCGGAUUAAUGCUCUAUGUUGUAUUUAGAGGACAUCUGAAGAAUACCAAAGGUUUACCGCUAUAGGAUGGGGAUGCGUCUGAUUAGGUAGUAGGCGGGGUAACGGCCCACCUAGCCGACGAUCAGUAGGGGUUCUGAGAGGAAGGUCCCCCACAUUGGAACUGAGACA
This 316-nucleotide ribosomal RNA is filed under the name Xylanibacter ruminicola. Its description in RNAcentral is "bacterial SSU rRNA". It matches the Rfam family "Bacterial small subunit ribosomal RNA", at positions 19 to 326 of the family's 1533-position model. Lineage: Bacteria; Pseudomonadati; Bacteroidota; Bacteroidia; Bacteroidales; Prevotellaceae. The record is from RNAcentral.